This 253-nucleotide ribosomal RNA is filed under the name uncultured bacterium. RNAcentral describes it as "partial 16S ribosomal RNA". It matches the Rfam family "Bacterial small subunit ribosomal RNA", at positions 524 to 776 of the family's 1533-position model. The record is from RNAcentral.
UACGGAGGGUGCGAGCGUUAAUCGGAAUUACUGGGCGUAAAGCGCAUGCAGGUGGUUCGUUAAGUCAGAUGUGAAAGCCCGGGGCUCAACCUCGGAAUUGCAUUUGAAACUGGCGGACUAGAGUACAGAAGAGGGUGGUAGAAUUUCAGGUGUAGCGGUGAAAUGCGUAGAGAUCUGAAGGAAUACCGGUGGCGAAGGCGGCCCCCUGGACAGAUACUGACACUCAGAUGCGAAAGCGUGGGGAGCAAACAGG